UAGCUCAGUUGGCUAGAGCACCUCGUUUACACCGAGGGGGUCGGGGGUUCAAGUCCCUC
This 59-nucleotide transfer RNA is filed under the name Planctomycetota bacterium. RNAcentral's name for it is "tRNA-Val". It matches the Rfam family "tRNA", at positions 8 to 63 of the family's 71-position model. From Rfam's summary of the family: Transfer RNA (tRNA) molecules are approximately 80 nucleotides in length. The record is from RNAcentral. Lineage: Bacteria; Pseudomonadati; Planctomycetota.